Molecule: ribosomal RNA, 402 nt
Filed under: uncultured bacterium
Lineage: Bacteria
Description: partial 16S ribosomal RNA
Rfam family: Bacterial small subunit ribosomal RNA
Source: RNAcentral
GACGAACGCUGGCGGCGUGCCUAAUACAUGCAAGUCGAACGCAGUGGGGACGGGUGAGUAACACGUGGGUAACAUCCCAUCAGAGGGGAUAACACUUGGAAACAGGUGCUAAACCGAUACUGAUGGAUGGACCCGCGUUGCAUUAGCUAGGUGGGGAGGUAACGGCUCACCAAGGCCACGCUGCAUAGCCGAACUGUGAGUGGGUGCGCCCACACUGGGACUGAGCCACUGCCCAGAACCCUACGGGAGGCAGCAGGAGGGAAUCUACGGCAAUAGACGAAAGUCUGACCGAGCAACGCCGUGUAAGUGAAGAAGGUUUUCGGAUCGUAAAACUCGGUGGUUAGAGAAGGGGUAUCUAACGAGAAAGCCACGCUAACUACGUGCCAGCCGCCGCGGUAAUAC